AUGUGGCUCCGCGCUACUCGAGUUUAUAUCAUGGUAUCUCUUAUUGGUCCACGGACUUCGAUGACUCCCUAUUCGGAAAGGACAAAAGACGAUGUUCUUCGGUGGCUUGAAAAAAAUCGGUUGAUUUUGGGUCAUAGGAGAAACCAUACUACUAUUAAGAGGGGUUGCGUGAUCCUUCCUUCGAUAGGCUUGAGAGCUCCGCCCGCCCGCGUCCUAGCUCCGCCGGUGGCCGCUCCGGCCCCGGCGUCCACCUCCGCCUGCGCCUCCGCGCUCCGGGCGCUCGCCGCCAUGGCUUCGCCGUCCUCCCCGCCCCCCUCGAGCCCGGGUCGGACCUGCGAGGUCCGCUGGAUGGACCGCAGUCCAUCCCCUUCGCCCAGCCCUGCCCACCCCGCCUCCUCCUACGCCCUGGUGGUCUCCUCCUCGCCCGCCUCCGCCGCCCCCCGGCCCGGCCCUCGCUCCGAGAUCCACCGCGUCUCCCCGGUGGCGGAGCCAGGCCCCGGCGCGGACGAGGCCGCCUGGACCACCGUCCGCAACCGCCAGGCGCGUCGCGAGGAGCGCCAGUCGCCGCCCCGCCCCAACCGUCGUCGCCGUGCGCCGGAGGCACCCUCCUGCCGGGUCGACGAGUGCCCGCGCUGCCUCGCUCGUCCGUGGCACCCCAGGUCCGAGUGUCGCCGUGACAUCUACUGCAGAAGAUGCCGUUUCUUCGGGCACAUCGCGCGGUACUGCACCGCCCCUCCUCUCCGCCGGUCCUCGGGUUCGCCGCCUCCGAAGCGAUUGCGCCCACGCUCCUCUGGCUCCUCGGACGCGAGUGUUGCCGGACCCAGCGGCCUCGCGUUUUCCAGGGCUGGAUCCACGUCCUCCGCCCCUGUGCUGCCGUCGGAGUCCUCCAGGCCCGCUUCCUCCCCACGCUCCGUGCCGGCUUCGUCUUCCCCUGCCAGCCCCAGCCAGUCUGUUGCCGUCUCCCCCCUCUCCGGGCACCCCUCUCUCCGUCCGGCAGGGGCUGUGUGCUACCUGUCGUGGUCUGCGGAGAUGGGGGACGCAGAGGAUGAGCUCCAAUCUCUCUCCCUGCUCGCCGAGCCCGCGGGCAACCAUCGCGGCGUCUCCUCCGGCGAGGUGUUCGAGGCCCUCCAGGCACGUUUUGGUCUCUCGCCUGACGAGUUCUCGGUCCACCCCCACCACCCCGACGACUUCCUCGUCCGCUUCCAGUCUCGUGACUCCCGGGCGCGCGUUUCGGCCACGAGCCUGCACACCCCGCGCUUCCGCCUCCGAUUCACCCCUUGGAGCCCCAUCGCCGGCGGCGAGCCCGUCACUGUUCGUAUGCGCGUCCUCAUUGAGAUCCGCGGGAUUCCGGAUCAUGCGUGGUGCCGCGCCUCUGCCGACUUCCUCCUGGCACCCUUCUGCCUCAUCGAGGAUCUCACCCCGGAGACUCGCUCCGGCCGUGACAUGUCCGUGUUCCGCCUUUCGGCAUGGACGACGAACCCCGACGGGAUCCCCCGCUCCUCAGAGCUCCUCCUGCCGCCACGCGAUGGCAUUGCCCUGGAUGCCGACCCGGACCGCGUCUCGCGCUUCGCGCGUCCCCUCGUCCGGUUCCCGGUGUCGAUCCACGUCUCCGAGUCCCAGGAUUAUCGCCUCCCAGCUCCUCCGCCGCGGGCGCCGCCAAGUGAUGCGGAUGACGAUGCCCCUGGUUCGCCGCCUGUCCCUGGGCCAUGGCCACGUAGGCCUCCUCGGCGUUCCCCUGGCUCCUCCCGCCGUGCCGGUCGUGGUGGCGCUGCCCGCCCCUUUGGCCGCCGGCCGCCCCCCCAUCGGGGUUGGCAAGGCGUGUUGGACCCGCACCCCGGUGCCUCUCCUCCUCCGCAUCGGAUUCCCGCCACUUUACGCCUGGCCCCCCCUCGGCCCCGGCUGGCACGCCCUCGUCACCAGCCCUGCUCGCUUUGGACCAGGCGGGUCCCAGCGUCGUCGCGGUUCAAACGGCCCCGCUGA
Molecule: ribosomal RNA, 1980 nt
Filed under: Triticum aestivum (bread wheat)
Lineage: Eukaryota; Viridiplantae; Streptophyta; Magnoliopsida; Poales; Poaceae
Description: partial small subunit ribosomal RNA
Source: RNAcentral